AGAUGUUCGAAAAGAAAAGGAAGAAGAGUCAUGGGAGAGUCAUAAUUUUGGUAAAACCAUUUUCUUCCAUAUCCCACUUUUCUCACUUUCUUCUCCCACCACACCCCGAUCUAUCAACCCAAAGAGAAUAAACUCCCUUCACGCCUACUGCCAAUUCCCUUCCUUUCCCUCUUCCGCAGAUCUCUAAACCCACCAAUUCUUGUAUCAAUUUCUCACUUACCUGUUUGCAUUUUAUGCUCCCCGGUAUCUAUGUAGAAGCAGCUUUUAGUUGCGACCAAACAUUUUUUUUUCAGGUGUAUGUCAAAGGUAGUGUAUAUAUGAAAGAGUGACGAUUAGGGUUUUGGAUUUUUCUUGUGGUUUGUUGAUGGUAUGGAUACGCAAAGCUGGAAAGAUGUGUACAAGGGCAUGUCAUCUGACAAUAUCAAAGGAUUGGUUCUCGCUUUGUCCUCGAGUUUAUUCAUUGGUGCUAGCUUUAUUAUUAAGAAAAAAGGGUUAAAGAAAGCUGGUGCUUCCGGUGUCAGAGCUGGUGUUGGAGGAUACUCAUACCUGUAUGAGACACUUUGGUGGGUGGGCAUGAUAA
RNAcentral lists this unclassified non-coding RNA (580 nucleotides) under Hevea brasiliensis (rubber tree). Lineage: Eukaryota; Viridiplantae; Streptophyta; Magnoliopsida; Malpighiales; Euphorbiaceae. The record is from RNAcentral.